This 254-nucleotide ribosomal RNA is filed under the name uncultured bacterium. Its description in RNAcentral is "partial 16S ribosomal RNA". It matches the Rfam family "Bacterial small subunit ribosomal RNA", at positions 524 to 776 of the family's 1533-position model. The record is from RNAcentral.
GACGUAGGGCGCGAGCGUUGUCCGGAUUUAUUGGGCGUAAAGAGCUCGUAGGCGGCUUGUCGCGUCGUCCGUGAAAACCUGCAGCUCAACUGCAGGCUUGCGGUCGAUACGGGCAGGCUAGAGUUCGGUAGGGGAGACUGGAAUUCCUGGUGUAGCGGUGAAAUGCGCAGAUAUCAGGAGGAACACCGGUGGCGAAGGCGGGUCUCUGGGCCGAAACUGACGCUGGAGACGCGAAAGCGUGGGGAGCAAACAGG